GGGUUGUGAGGUUAAGCGACUAAGCGUACACGGUGGAUGCCCUGGCAGUCAGAGGCGAUGAAGGGCGUGCUAAUCUGCGAUAAGCGCCGGUAAGGUGAUAUGAACCGUUAUAACCGGCGAUACCCGAAUGGGGAAACCCAGUGUGACUCGUCACACUAUCAUUAACUGAAUCCAUAGGUUAAUGAGGCGAACCGGGGGAACUGAAACAUCUAAGUACCCCGAGGAAAAGAAAUCAACCGAGAUUCCCCCAGUAGCGGCGAGCGAACGGGGAGGAGCCCAGAGCCUGAAUCAGCAUGUGUGUUAGUGGAAGCGUCUGGAAAGGCGCGCGAUACAGGGUGACAGCCCCGUACACAAAAGCGCAUGUGCUGUGAGCUCGAUGAGUAGGGCGGGACACGUGGUAUCCUGUCUGAAUAUGGGGGGACCAUCCUCCAAGGCUAAAUACUCCUGACUGACCGAUAGUGAACCAGUACCGUGAGGGAAAGGCGAAAAGAACCCCGGCGAGGGGAGUGAAAAAGAACCUGAAACCGUGUACGUACAAGCAGUGGGAGCCCCACCACCAAAGCAUUCUCUGGUGUUGAAGGCCCUGCAAAGCAGCAUCGCGGUGGCGGAGCGUCGUUUGCGACGCCCAACACACAAAACAAGCGGUGAAUGCUUUGGGGUGGGGUGACUGCGUACCUUUUGUAUAAUGGGUCAGCGACUUAUAUUCUGUAGCAAGGUUAACCGAAUAGGGGAGCCGGAGGGAAACCGAGUCUUAAUUGGGCGUUAAGUUGCAGGGUAUAGACCCGAAACCCGGUGAUCUAGCCAUGGGCAGGUUGAAGGUUGGGUAACACUAACUGGAGGACCGAACCGACUAAUGUUGAAAAAUUAGCGGAUGACCUGUGGCUGGGGGUGAAAGGCCAAUCAAACCGGGAGAUAGCUGGUUCUCCCCGAAAGCUAUUUAGGUAGCGCCUCGUGAAUUCAUCUCCGGGGGUAGAGCACUGUUUCGGCUAGGGGGCCAUCCCGGCUUACCAACCCGAUGCAAACUGCGAAUACCGGAGAAUGUUAUCACGGGAGACACACGGCGGGUGCUAACGUCCGUCGUGAAGAGGGAAACAACCCAGACCGCCAGCUAAGGUCCCAAAGUCAUGGUUAAGUGGGAAACGAUGUGGGAAGGCCCAGACAGCCAGGAUGUUGGCUUAGAAGCAGCCAUCAUUUAAAGAAAGCGUAAUAGCUCACUGGUCGAGUCGGCCUGCGCGGAAGAUGUAACGGGGCUAAACCAUGCACCGAAGCUGCGGCAGCGAACGUAUCACCCAAGACAACUUUACGGAGUUGACGAUUGACGGAGCGAAGCGACGUCAAAGCGUUCAUUAAAGUCGAGUUGGCUUAGGGAUACGUUCGUUGGGUAGGGGAGCGUUCUGUAAGCCUGUGAAGGUGUGUCGUGAGGCAUGCUGGAGGUAUCAGAAGUGCGAAUGCUGACAUAAGUAACGAUAAAGCGGGUGAAAAGCCCGCUCGCCGGAAGACCAAGGGUUCCUGUCCAACGUUAAUCGGGGCAGGGUGAGUCGACCCCUAAGGCGAGGCCGAAAGGCGUAGUCGAUGGGAAACGGGUUAAUAUUCCCGUACUUGGUGUUACUGCGAAGGGGGGACGGAGAAGGCUAUGUUGGCCGGGCGACGGUUGUCCCGGUUUAAGCGUGUAGGUGUGUGUUCCAGGUAAAUCCGGUUCACUUUAACACUGAGGCGUGAUGACGAGGCACUACGGUGCUGAAGCAACAAAUGCCCUGCUUCCAGGAAAAGCCUCUAAGCAUCAGGUAACAUCAAAUCGUACCCCAAACCGACACAGGUGGUCAGGUAGAGAAUACCAAGGCGCUUGAGAGAACUCGGGUGAAGGAACUAGGCAAAAUGGUGCCGUAACUUCGGGAGAAGGCACGCUGACACGUAGGUGAAGUGAUUUACUCACGGAGCUGAAGUCAGUCGAAGAUACCAGCUGGCUGCAACUGUUUAUUAAAAACACAGCACUGUGCAAACACGAAAGUGGACGUAUACGGUGUGACGCCUGCCCGGUGCCGGAAGGUUAAUUGAUGGGGUCAGCGCAAGCGAAGCUCCUGAUCGAAGCCCCGGUAAACGGCGGCCGUAACUAUAACGGUCCUAAGGUAGCGAAAUUCCUUGUCGGGUAAGUUCCGACCUGCACGAAUGGCGUAAUGAUGGCCAGGCUGUCUCCACCCGAGACUCAGUGAAAUUGAACUCGCUGUGAAGAUGCAGUGUACCCGCGGCAAGACGGAAAGACCCCGUGAACCUUUACUAUAGCUUGACACUGAACAUUGAGCCUUGAUGUGUAGGAUAGGUGGGAGGCUUUGAAGUGUGGACGCCAGUCUGCAUGGAGCCGACCUUGAAAUACCACCCUUUAAUGUUUGAUGUUCUAACGUGGACCCGUAAUCCGGGUUGCGGACAGUGUCUGGUGGGUAGUUUGACUGGGGCGGUCUCCUCCUAAAGAGUAACGGAGGAGCACGAAGGUUGGCUAAUCCUGGUCGGACAUCAGGAGGUUAGUGCAAUGGCAUAAGCCAGCUUGACUGCGAGCGUGACGGCGCGAGCAGGUGCGAAAGCAGGUCAUAGUGAUCCGGUGGUUCUGAAUGGAAGGGCCAUCGCUCAACGGAUAAAAGGUACUCCGGGGAUAACAGGCUGAUACCGCCCAAGAGUUCAUAUCGACGGCGGUGUUUGGCACCUCGAUGUCGGCUCAUCACAUCCUGGGGCUGAAGUAGGUCCCAAGGGUAUGGCUGUUCGCCAUUUAAAGUGGUACGCGAGCUGGGUUUAGAACGUCGUGAGACAGUUCGGUCCCUAUCUGCCGUGGGCGCUGGAGAACUGAGGGGGGCUGCUCCUAGUACGAGAGGACCGGAGUGGACGCAUCACUGGUGUUCGGGUUGUCAUGCCAAUGGCACUGCCCGGUAGCUAAAUGCGGAAGAGAUAAGUGCUGAAAGCAUCUAAGCACGAAACUUGCCCCGAGAUGAGUUCUCCCUGAGACUUAGAGUCUCCUGAAGGAACGUUGAAGACGACGACGUUGAUAGGCCGGGUGUGUAAGCGCAGCGAUGCGUUGAGCUAACCGGUACUAAUGAACCGUGAGGCUUAACCUUACAACGCCGAAG
RNAcentral lists this ribosomal RNA (3113 nucleotides) under Salmonella enterica subsp. enterica serovar Typhimurium. Its description in RNAcentral is "bacterial LSU rRNA". It matches the Rfam family "Bacterial large subunit ribosomal RNA". The record is from RNAcentral. Lineage: Bacteria; Pseudomonadati; Pseudomonadota; Gammaproteobacteria; Enterobacterales; Enterobacteriaceae.